Molecule: non-coding RNA, 145 nt
Organism: Gossypium raimondii (Peruvian cotton)
Lineage: Eukaryota; Viridiplantae; Streptophyta; Magnoliopsida; Malvales; Malvaceae
Source: Rfam
UAUUAAAAAUUACAUUCAUUUAUAUUAUUAAAAACUGCCAUAAUUGGUAGAAUAAUCAGGCAUUGGCAAAUGGUGUGCCACGUGUACCUUAUUCAGACAUAUAGAGAUCAGUUUUUAAUAGUAGAAAUAGAUAAAUUUUUUAACA